UACGUAGGGGGCAAGCGUUAUCCGGAAUUAUUGGGCGUAAAGAGUGCGUAGGUGGUUACCUAAGCGCAAGGUUUAAUCUUGAGGCUCAACCUCAUUUUGCCUUGCGAACUGGGCUACUUGAGUGCAGGAGGGGAAAGCGGAAUUCCUAGUGUAGCGGUGAAAUGCGUAGAUAUUAGGAAGAACACCGGUGGCGAAGGCGGCUUUCUGGACUGUAACUGACACUGAGGCACGAAAGCGUGGGGAGCAAACAGGAUUAGAUACCCGCGUAGUCCCUGAG
RNAcentral lists this ribosomal RNA (277 nucleotides) under uncultured prokaryote. RNAcentral describes it as "partial 16S ribosomal RNA". It matches the Rfam family "Bacterial small subunit ribosomal RNA", at positions 524 to 801 of the family's 1533-position model. The record is from RNAcentral.